Molecule: long non-coding RNA, 14506 nt
Filed under: Lactuca sativa (garden lettuce)
Lineage: Eukaryota; Viridiplantae; Streptophyta; Magnoliopsida; Asterales; Asteraceae
Description: long non-coding RNA (LSAT_LNC009255)
Source: RNAcentral
GUGACAAUAAAAAGCAAUAUAUUGUUCCGCUUGAUUUGUCAAAAGUUACAAACUUUACAAGAUAGACGUAAUCAUAAAACUACAUCGGUGAUGAUAUAUAUUUAUCAACGGAAACUCCAAAAAACGAUUUUACGAGAAGAAGCCAAAGGUGUCAAGGAUAGUAGUGUGAAGUGGAUCACUCAAAUGAGUAACCCAGUUGUUGAGAGGACCUUUUCCGGUGGCCGCUGCUUGAACGGCAAACCCAAGGAAUCCCACCAUGGCAAGACGGGCAUGCUUGAUCUCCGCCAGUUGUAGGAUGGCUUUCUUCUCGGGGUCGGCGGCUAAGUUCAACGGAUCAAACGGACCACCGGGGUAUAACCUCUUUUCAGGAUCAAGCUCAGCGUUUCUUUGAAACUCAAUGUAGCCGAUGAUCAAAACCUCAAUCCAGAUCAAAGUGGUGAUAGAGAAUGGGAGUGGUUGACCAAGGUACGAUGAUCCAUCGAUUAGUUCAACCUAAAGAAAAACAAUACAAGAAAAUCCAUUAAUUUUCAUGGUUUAUGCUUAAUCAUCGACUAAUCAAAUCUAUAACAUGUACGUACGCACCUUUCCGGCAUCUUGCCAUGUAACACCGGUGACGGAUUCAACGGUGAGAGCGCCGAGGGUAGCCAACAUAGCCCACCGGCCAUGGAUGAGUUCGCACUCCCUAAACCUCUGAAGCCCGAACACUUCGCUGUAUGGUUGGAAAGGUGUCGAUUUCACAUCCGCAUCUUCGAACCGGGUUCCGAUCACGUCUCCGGCCAAAUUCUUCGCUAAGUUUUGAUCCAACGAGUCCAAAUCAAACUGUAAAUACUCUGCCGGUUUACCUAAACCGAAAGGGUCAAACCCGUAGUCUCCGACCAGACUCCCGUCUAGAUACUCCGGUGCUUUUGCGCCGGGAUACCAUAAGGGGCGAUCAGAUGUUACGGUUCUCGAUGCUUUUUUGGGGGCGGCUUUCUUCUUUCCAAAUCCGAAUCUAGCUGUAACUCGGCCGGAGUUGGAAUGUAGGUCCGGGAGACGGGUUCCGAUGAAGGAGGCGGCGGCGGCGGCAGAUGCGGCGGUUGCCAUCGGUGGUGGUGGUGGUGGGUUGUGACUUGUGUGUAGUGGGCAAGAAGUGUGGCGUGAUGUAUAGAGUUUGAUGGGUGUGAAGGGAUUAGAUAAGCGAGGAAAUUUUGGCCGUUGGAUGAAGCGAGUAUCCAUCUGAGGGAUGAGAGAACGUAGGCCUUAUCUAGGCCUUAUCUGGUUGAAGAAUGUCUGAUUUCUACUGGUGGAUUGAGGAGGAGUACGUGUCAUGGUAAUUUGUGGUUGAUAUUUGCCAAAUUAAACCAUUAAUAAUAAGAACUUGAAAGAUUUAAAAGCUAGCCAAAACAUUUUCAAGGAGAAGGUGGCUAAAGAUAAAAGGUUAAUUUCAUGAAAGAUAUAAAACUUUGUUUUGUUCUCUUAAAUCAAAUGUUUUAUUUUUUUCCUUUAAAAACUAUGGCUUUUUCAGAAAAAGAAAUAUAUAAUUUUGUUCGAUAAUUGGAUUUGUGGUUAAUUAUUGGUAAACAGUUACAAAAACAAAUUUUGAUAAACUUAUACCUUUUAUUUUUUCUGUAAGCAAAAGUUUUAGUUAAACUGAAAAUUGGUUAAAUUUAUAGAUUUUUAUUAAACUUUUUUAACUUUCUCAACCACUAAUGGUUUCAAUAAUAAAAAAUUAGGAAAGUUCUNNNNNNNNNNNNNNNNNNNNNNNNNNNNNNNNNNNNNNNNNNNNNNNNNNNNNNNNNNNNNNNNNNNNNNNNNNNNNNNNNNNNNNNNNNNNNNNNNNNNNNNNNNNNNNNNNNNNNNNNNNNNNNNNNNNNNNNNNNNNNNNNNNNNNNNNNNNNNNNNNNNNNNNNNNNNNNNNNNNNNNNNNNNNNNNNNNNNNNNNNNNNNNNNNNNNNNNNNNNNNNNNNNNNNNNNNNNNNNNNNNNNNNNNNNNNNNNNNNNNNNNNNNNNNNNNNNNNNNNNNNNNNNNNNNNNNNNNNNNNNNNNNNNNNNNGAUAUUUACCAUUUAAUAUAAUUAUAAUUUAUAAAAAUAACAAAAUUUGAAUAAAGAAAUAUAUACUUCACGAUAUAUAUUUAUAAAACAUUAUAUUAGGGAGCGAUAACUUUUUAAUUAUCAAUAAAACUUUUUCAAAAUAUAUUUUUAUUUGAUUCUUUUUAUUUUUAUUUAUUAAUAGAAUAGAUUAUAAUAAUAAUAAAAUUAUUGUAUCAAUACAAAAGUUAUGAAAGCUGAUGGACUCAUAUAAAUGUGGUGCAAAUGGAUGGACUUAUUUAACUAACUAAAACCAAAAAAGGUACCAUCAAUUUUAUAACUUGUUCUGUAUGGUUUUGUUUUAAAUGUCAUAAUCUAAAAGAAAACUUUUAAAAGAGGUUAAAAAUUGAAGAAAAAUAUAAAUUUCACAAGAUAUGAAUGUUUUUUUUCAAUAUAUGAUAUAAGUUGCAAUAUAUGGAGGUGUUUUAAAAUAUAUGAUUAAUUCAUAUCAAUUUUCUUUUUUUACUUGAAUUUUUUCAAAAAUGUUUAAUAUUUUUAUAAUUAAACCUAAUCCUAGUGUCAUUAUUACUUUCCUAUUGUACAUACAAAAUUCUCAUAAAAUCGAGAUGUAACCCUUAAUUUACAUUAUGAUAUGACCUAUAGAAUGAUAUGAAAUUUUAUACUCCUUCCGUCUCAAUAUUAUUGUUCACAGACAAAAAACACACAGAUCAAGAAAAGCAUUAAUUACCAUUAAUUUUAUUUAAUAAAAUGACACUUUUGUCUUUACUUUGCAUUUAAUGUUCCAUUAAAAGUUUAGUUGGUUAAGUAAUAAUGAGGGGUAUUUUGGUAAAAAUGUUAUUUAUUUUUAGAAAUGGACUAUUAUUUUGGGACAAACCAAAAAGAGUUAAAUCAAACUCUAAUUUUAGAAAUGGACUAUAAUUUUAGGACGGGGGAGUAUCUUUAAACUUAUUUGCUUUUAGAAGUUACAUACAAGCAUUUGUAAUAAAAUUAUUUUAAAAAUUUAGAAACCGAAAAAGAGUUAAAUCAAACUAUAUUAGCAAUUUUAGUCCCUCACUCACACAAUGCUAUAAUUGGUUAGUUUAAAAAAGAAAUAGUCAUAGUGCAAUACUUGUUUAGUUUCUAUAAAAAAGUAUGAUGCUACAAUUGGUUAGUUUUUCAUAAUAAAAAAACUCAAAGUGCAAUGAUAUAAUAUACAAACAUAAAAGUAUGUUUCUAUCUGUUGCAAACAUUUGACUAUACAACAAACAUUUUGCUUAGUUGUACAUGUAAUAAAAAAAACCUUUAAUUAAACAUUCUAGUAACCUUAUGAGAUUGCAAGUGAGAUGUAUUUUUUUAAUAACACAUGUCAUCUUGUUGAUGGCCUCGCCCGCUACAACGGCCCCGCCGCUCCAGGCCUCGCCUGGCUUCGAGCCCCGGUCGGAUACAGAUCUGUUUCACUUAGGCCUCGCCUGUCACAGGGUCUCGCUCGCUAACACAUAAUAGCACACAAACAUAUCAUAACACAUAAGCUAAACACAUACUAACGGAUCUUGUCCUAAGGCCUCGCCUAUCCUGAGCCUCGCCCUUGUCCUGCUACUGAUGAGUCAUGGAACCCCGUCCACGCUCUUACUGAUAGUGAGAUACGGGCCCAGCCCAUACUCACUCUUUCCUUAACUUGGGCCUCGCCCCUGAUCUGUUGCUAACGAGAUGUGGAACACCAUCCACACUCUACUAAUAGUGAGAUACGGGCCCAGCCCACACUUACUCUUUCCUUAACUUGGGCCUCGUCCCUGAUUUGUUGCUAAUGAGAUGUGGAACGCCAUCCACACUCUGCUAUUGGUGAGAUACGGGACCUCGCCCACACUCACCUCCCUACCAGGCACAUACAAGUAUCACAUAGACAACAGGUAUAAACUAUCACAUAAACCAUUCCUUGGGCACCCGCCCGCUAUCAUUGGACCUCCUCCUGAAUAUGAUACUAGCAUACUGUGCCUAGGGCUAACCCCGGGUCUUCUACUCAAAACUACAUGGGCCGGCAUUGUGGUCGUAGACCCAUUCACACAAAAGGGAAACUCACCUGUUCUUGCUAAACUUGCUGAUAACCCCUCUGGAUGUUGAAUGACAAUUCCCUGAACCGCUGCCCCGCUAGCUCCCCAAGCUACCAAUAUCAAUGCAACACUUAGUCUAACUGGCCCCCAAAAGUCAACUCUGGUCAAUGUCAAAGUCCUGGUCAAGGUCAACCUUCCAGGUCAACCCUAGUCGCCGAGUCAACCUACUGACUCGCCGAGUUUAUAUGCUCAAAGUCCUUCCAUUCGCGACUCGACUCGCCGAGUCUACCGAUUUCCAAGUCCUGACCUGUCCGACUCACCGAGUCUCCACCCGACUCACUGAUUCGAGUCUCAACUCGAAGGGUUUGGGGUUUCGCGACAUGACUCGCCGAGUCCAAGAACAGACUCUUCGAGUCCAAGGCAAUCUUCAACAGACUCGCCGAGUUGUUCUUCCAACUCGUCGAUUUCCCAACCAACCUCGUCCAACUCGCCGAGUCCACCCAUGUGACUCGCCGAGUCGCUCCAGCUCUUAAACCAUGCAGUGGCUUUUCGAGCCAAACAGGGGCUCCAACACAUAGAUCCAUACUUCCAGGGCCUAUUCUUCACGUAAAGUGGCAAACUUUACGUGUAGCUAUGGAGAUCUAGGCUCAAAACACUCCAAACUAGGGUUUAUGACAACCAUGCUUCACCCACAUACCAAGACCUGAUACUUUAUGGGAUUCUAGACCAAAACAAGCAUGGACCUGAGGUAGCAACCUCAGAUCUAAACUUCUAGCUUGAAAUGGUUACUCAUCAUGCUAAGAAUGCCCAAAACUCACACAUAGAUCUAGGUGCAAAGGAGUCCAAGAACUAGUUUAUUACCUCCAAAUGUUCAGAAAUGUCUUCCCAAUCCUGGAUCUAUAGCCCCUUCUAGCCCCUCCAAGAUCCUUCUUCCUUCUCCAAGCUUUAAUGCACUCUUCAAGGCAAUAAUUAGCUCAAAAAUGGAUAUGGCGGCUAGGGUUUGGUGUUCUGGGUUAGAGAGGCAGUAAAGGAACCCUAGGGAAGAGAAUGAGACGCUUAAAUAGGCUCCAAGUCCCGAAUUUAGGGUUUUCCUCGUUCAGACUAGACUCGCCGAGUCUCCUUAGCCGACUCGCCGAGUCAGUCACUUACUCCUUGACCCGGAUCCCGCUCGGACUCGUCGAGUUCCUCCUUGGACUCGAUGAGUCGUCCCUUAAACUUAGGGUUUCCUUUCCUUUCUUGGCCUUCCUGACUUUGGGUGUUACAACUCACCCCCACUUAAACUAAACUUCGUCCUCGAAGUUUGCUAUGGCCCACUGCCUACGAUCUGCUUCCAAUACCCUACUAAUUACUCCAACACCAGCUGCCUAACUUCGCUGGUCUUCCGCCUGGUCAUUCCGACUAACAUUAAUCCUUGCGGAUAAUAAUCUCGGGUCAACGCUGACCCUGAACAUUGUGGAAACACAACUUACUCAACCGACAAUCCUUCUGGUACUCUCCGAGUACUGCACUGAACCCAUAGGGAUUCACCCCUUCUUUCCUUUCGCGAUUUCCUUGACUUCUCAAGGCAACGCUCCAUAACCAACUAUUUCCUCUGUCACUGUGAAGAUCUUAUCUUCACCAAAUCCAUUACUCCUGCUACCUCCAGUAUGGGUCAUUAUCGCCAGUAUCCACUGAGAAUUUCUUUCUACGCUAAAUUAGUGUCGAGUACCCCACGAUCAACUAACUGAAUUCCACCAUACACUGCUUACCUGCACUACUACAUACUGAAAAUUCUGCUAUUCCUUAUCUGCUUUCCGGAUGAACUGAGACCACCUGGGUCCCUACCAACCUAUCAAUAUCUGGAUUACCGGCUCCCACCGGUAGCUAGCCCCAACACAACUCCUAGUCGCUCACAGCGACUUUCGAAGAAACUUCGACCACCUAUAACUGCUCAAUCUAUUAUGCCAUACAGGCACUACCAUCCUAGGAUCCUCGAUCCCCUAUCAUGACACUACGAUCCCUACCAGGUCCCACCUAUGCUGCUAAAACUCACGGGCCUCGCCCACGGGCCCCACCCGCCUCUAUCCUUCAAGUCCCACUUGUCUACCCACUCUCGCUCGGGCCCCGCCCACGGGUCUCACCUAACCAUACUACUGAGCAACCCUGCUCUCAGGUCUCACCUACACUGCUAAUCUCAUACGGGCCUCGCCCACGGGUCUCACCCUACUAUAUCCUGGAGUGGCCUCCCCCAAGGUCUCACCUCUCUAGGGCUAUACAGGCAAACUCCCUACCAUUCUCGUCCACUACCCAUUCCUGAUCUCUAUCUGAUCACUAGGAGAUAAGGGCCUCGCCCCAACUCCGCUAAUGAAGCUACCAUGGAAUGCUACGACUUACUCGUAGUCUUACAUCACCUUCCAUCACUGACUGCUAGCGAAUGCUACGACUGCCUCGUAGUCUUACAACACUCUCUACCACUGACCGCUAGUGAAUGCUACGGCUGCCCCGUAGUCUUACAACACUCUCUACCACUGACCGCUAAUACGAAAGCAACCCAUGCUAUCAAUUCUCAAGAUCCUCAUUCCGACUCUCUCGAGUCCUACAGGCGAUCCACCAACCUGAAUUCCCAACCACAUACUAACCAUCACCAUCACACGCACUAGCUGAUGGGGAGUUUCUCAAACUCCCAACCCUGAACUCCUCAAUCCAUCAAACAUUGUACUACUUCUUUUCCUUCUCAAAGGUCGCGCACUCAUCCUGGAUCUGCGUGCUCUUACCUUUUCACACUCGAAGGAUACUCCCCCACUUCGAUCCUGCUUACCCUUUGCUGCUUAAUGCUCAGGAAGAAAUCCCAAUCCUUGCUACCAUUCCAUAAUCAAUCUGCUGAGGAACCCAAGCUUACCAUAGCUAGGGAUCUAACCAAUCCAUCUCUAAAACUAUACAACUCCGAACUAGCGAGGCGUACCAAGUCCCUCCCAAGCAUGCUACAGUUAUUGCAUCCUAUGUAACCUUCUCCAAUAGAGCACAUCCCCUCACUAUCAUUCAAAUUCCCAAGGUAUGCAGAUGGCAUAUAACUCGAUCAUAAUCACGCCGCUAAAAAAAAUAAAAUACUCAUACCGAUAAUGAUGCAAAACCAUAACAAUAUAAUCAUGCACAAAUAAAAGAACUGAAAAUGGAAAUCGCAUACCUACAACGUCCGGUGCUGCUCGCACCUCCAAGGUAGUCAUCUGAAAAGCCCUGCCUCCUACCACAGGCGCCUCUAUACGGCCCUGAUUGCCAUCUGUGAUCCUCAAAGUUGCAGGGGCAGGUGCCAUCACUCGUCCUGCCGAAAAAAAACUGGGGCACUAGGCCUUCUUGUGGCCCCGCUGAACUGCAGUGAAAACAUAUCAAGUCUGAUGCCUGUGUGGUGGUGAUAGUACAAUCCCUGCUAAAAUGACCAGUCCGACCACACUUGAAGCAGCCGGACUCAUCAUCGCUACCACUCCUGCACGCGUCCCCGUGCGCCCUGCCACACUUCCCGCACCGGCUGCGGUCCUGAUAAUCCCUCGAUCUCGGAUCCGAUCCCUUGGGCCUUUUGUCCGAACCUGUGGCUCCCUAAACCUCAUCCGACUUCCUCUUCCGAAUCUGGUCCAAAUCAAUUUCCCUCUCUUUAGCCCGAGAAAUCAUAUCUUCCAGUGUCUUACAGCCGGAUCUGCUCACGAACUUCCUGAUGUCAUCCCUCAACAUCUCAUGGUAUCGGGCCUUCUUCAUCUCCUCAUCCGCGACAUACUGCGGUACAAGAAGAGCCCUUUCCCUGAACUUGGCGGUGAUCUCCGCCACAGUCUCAGUGGCCUGUGUCAAAUCCUGAAAUUCCCGUGCCAACUGUUGCACCUCAAUAAUCGGUGAAAACUCAGCCUUGAAUCUGGCCGAGAAAUUGCUCCAUGUCAUCGCGUCCAACGCGACAUCAUCCCCCAAAGCAUGACCAAUCUCUUCUCACCAAUCCCUCGCUCUGUCCUUCAGUAGACAGGAGGCGAGUCUGACCUUGUCCCCCUCGGGACACCGGCUCGUACGGAAUGCGUUGGCAACAUCAGCCAACCAUCUGCUGCUAGCGAUGGGGUCCCUAGCCCCAUGAUAAUCUGGUGUCCCGCAAGCCCUAAAAUCUCGAAAUGUCAAGGUACGCGCUCCCAUCAAUGCCAUCAUCUCAGUACGGAAGGCUCCCAGCCUCUCAUCCAAGAUCUCCAGUAUGCCCUCCUUGACCGUGCCAAAGAUCACAGGAGUCUGAGCUAGAAUACUGCGCGUAACCUCAGCUGAUAUCAACUCUCUCAUCCGCUCCUCGAGCUGCUCGGCCCCUGAACCCGAGCCUGAUCCCUCUCCGGCGCCUGGUCCGCUCACUGGUCUCUCUCGCAACGUCACCAUGCUGAAAAUAUAAUACAUCCUCUAUCAUAAUACUUAUCACUGCUGUGCGACCUAACACACGCACUACCAGGUCCCCAGUCUUGUCUCGGCCUUUCCCGAAUCGAGUACGGAUCCUCUGCUUUCAGUAGUACGGGCCCAUACUACCUUCCACAUCUAUCUGUACUUUCCUCAGGACUUGCUUCAACUCCACUAGGUCCCUUUUUCUAUUACUACUGCUCCCAGCACUAUCUCAUCCUAGGCUUACCCUAGGGAAACCUCUGACUCAACCCAAACCAGUCCUCAGCUGUUGAAGGUCUCCUUGUGAUGCCAAUUAGCCAAUACCUGGAUACUAUCACAUGUGACGAGGCUUAGAUAAUCCUUCGGGUAAAUGAGUCGUCCCUACAACGGUUGGACUCAAACAAGAGCUGCGAAAUAGGGCCAAAUCUAGCACUCUGAGAUUAUUCAACCCUGAUAACAUGUGACGUGACGUAUCCACCUAAUGGCUAACUCCCAUCACUUAGAAUCCCAUAUUGCACAAAGCAAGCAGCAUUCAGACAAGGGGAAAAUCUAACCACAACACACUCAAGCAAUCAUAUCCACAUAGCAAGAAUCUGAACUGGCAUGCAACACAAACUCAUAAACUCAGGCAUAACCUAAACAGGCUAUCCUACUACUUUCUAAUCAACACUAUCAUGCAACUCAAAGCACAUAUAAUAGGCACAUAAGGCAUCCUCCCUAGAUCCUUAGUCCUAAUCUAACAUGCUGUUCUACUAACUGAUAAUCAUAACAUAAACUUGUAUGGGUAUUUUGGGGUACUUACUUGAGCUCGGCUGAUUGCAUACACCACACCCUUUUUCUCUUUUCAAAGUUCUUUCCUUUCUGAAUUCUUUUUGCUUUUCUAAAACUGUUUUCUUUCUCAAAACUCUCUUCUUACAAAAUUGUCUUUUCUUUUUGAAAACUUCUAUACCAAUUCCUCAGUUUGAGUUCAGACACACCCGAGAGCAUAUCCGAAUCCCUCAAACUAAAGCUCUGAUACCAACUUGUAACAUCCCAAAAUUCAAGACUAAAAAUUUCUUUUAAUAAAACAUUACUUAAAGCAAAAUCAUCAAACCAAAACAUAAUCAGAGUAUUAGUUUCCAAAACACAUAUUCGUUAUCAAAGUAAAACAUUCCCAGGCUGCCUAAACUAUGGUGUGUGCCAUGCGAUCACCCCGAGCUCUUCCCUCCGCUACCGGAAGUACAUGAAACCAAAACUAAAAACCGUAAGCACGAAGCGUAGUGAGUUCCCCACCCNCCAUGCGUAACCACAUACUGCACAUACUGGGCCACGCCUGCUAUCCUGGGCCUCGCCCCCUGCCUCGGGCUUCGCCCGCUACAACGGCCCCGCCGCUCCAGGCCUCGCCUGGCUUCGAUCCCCGCUCGGACACAAAUCUGUUUCACUUAGGCCUCGCUUGUCACAGGGCCUCGCCCGCUAACACAUAAUAGCACACAAACAUAUCACAACACAUAAGCUAAAUACAUACUAACGGAUCUUGUCCUAAGGCCUCGCCUAUCCUGGGCCUCGCCCUUGUCCUGCUACUGAUGAGUCAUGGAACCCCGUCCACGCUCUUACUGANNNNNNNNNNNNNNNNNNNNNNNNNNNNNNNNNNNNNNNNNNNNNNNNNNNNNNNNNNNNNNNNNNNNNNNNNNNNNNNNNNNNNNNNNNNNNNNNNNNNNNNNNNNNNNNNNNNNNNNNNNNNNNNNNNNNNNNNNNCCCUAACUUGGGCCUCGCCCCUGAUCUGUUGCUAAUGAGAUGUGGAACGCCAUCCAUACUCUGCUAUUGGUGAGAUACGGGACCUCACCCACACUCACCUCCCUACCAGGCACAUACAAGUAUCACAUAGAUAACAAGUAUAAACUAUCAAACAAACAAUUCCUUGGGCACCCGCCCACUAUCAUUGGACCUCAUCCUGAAUAUCAUACUAGCAUACUGUGCCUAGGGCUAACCUCCGGGUCUUCUACUCAUAACUACAUGGACCGACAUUGUGGUCGUAGACCCAUUCACACAAAAGGGAAACUCACCUGCACUUGUUGAACUUGCUAAUAACCCCUCUGGAUGCUGACCGACAAUUCCUUGAACCGCUGCCCCGCUAGCUCCCCGAGCUACCAAUAUCAAUGCAACACUUAGUCUAACUGACCGCCGAAAGUCAACUCUGGUCAAUGUCAAAGUCCUGGUCAAGGUCAACCUUCCAGGUCAACCCUACUCGUCGAGUCAACCUACUGACUCGCCGAGUUCAUAUGCUCAAAGUCCUUCCAUUUGCGACUCGACUCGCCGAGUCUACCGAUUUCCGAGUCCUGACCUGUUCGACUCACCGAGUCUCCACCCAACUCAUUGAUUCGAGUCUCAACUUGAAGGGUUUGGGGUUUCGCGACCUGACUCGCCGAGUCCAAGAACAGACUCGCCGAGUCCAAGGCAAUCUUCAACAGACUCGCCGAGUUGUUCUUCCAACUCGCCGAGUUCCCAACCAACCUCGUCCAACUCGCCGAGUCCACCCAUGUGACUCACCGAGUCGCUCCAGCUCUUAAACCAUGCAAUGGCUUUUCGAGCCAAACAGGGGCUCCAACACAUAGAUCCAUACUUCCAAGGCCUAUUCCUCACGUAAAGUGGCAAACUUUACGUGUAGCUAUGGAGAUCUAGGCUCAAAACACUCCAAACUAGGGUUUAUGACAACCAUGCUUCACCCACAUACCAAGAGCUGAUACUUUAUGGGAUUCUAGACCAAAACAAGCAUGGAACUGAGGUAGCAACCUCAGAUCUGAACUUCUAGCUUGAAAUGGUUACUCAUCAUGCCAAGAAUGCCCAAAACUCACACAUAGAUCUAGGUGAAAAGGAGUCCAAGAACUAGUUUAUUACCUCCAAAUGUUCAUAAAUGUCUUCCCAAUCCCGGAUCUAUAGCCCAUUCUCGCCCCUCCAAGAUCCUUCUUCCUUCUCCAAGCUUUAAUGCACUCUUCAAGGCAAUAAUUAGCUCAAAAAUGGAUAUGGCGGGGAGGGGGUGGGGGUGUGNNCUAGGGUUUGGUGUUCUGGGUUAGAGAGGCAAUAAAGGAACCCUAGGGAAGAGAAUGAGACGCUUAAAUAGGCUCCAAGUCCCGGAUUUAGGGUUUUCCUCAUUCAGACCAGACUCGCCGAGUCUCCUUAGCCGACUCGCCGAGUCGGUCACUUACUCCUUGACCCGGAUCCCGGUCAGACUCGCCUAGUUCCUCCUUGGACUCGACGAGUCGUCCCUUAAACUUAGCUUUUCUUGGCCUUCCUGAGUUUGGGUGUUACAAGGUGCUUGGCUAUUGAUUUGAUGCUUCCAGAACAUUUCCCCCAAAAACAUUCAGUGGUUUCCAUUAAGCAUUUCAACCAACAAAAAAGCUAGAUUUUCACAACUUGAAGUUAUAUUUGCAUUAAACAAAUGUCAACAUUCACUUCUUGGUCAUGUCAAGAAAAAAAUACAUACUUUGGAAGGGGAAGUAAAAUGGCAGAAUUACCCUUGUUUAAGAGACAUAUUUUAUCAAAUGUUUUGAGAAUUGUGUACCAGUACAUAUGUUAACAGAUGCAAGAUCGCCAUAUCCAUUACCAAUGUUAGGUGUAUUACCAUCUGGAUCUUUAGUGACUUCUUUAACCAAUGUCUUGUGAAAAUAAAAUGCUAUUACAUGUCUUCUCUGAGCAGCCAUAUCAUACACGAAGUGAAAACCAACAUGAUAGAUGUAAUUCAUAUGAAGUUAUACUUCAUAAAAAAGCACAUAAACAUAAAUUAAAAAAAAAACAUUUUUAUUGGACUAUUUUUUUAGUUUACCUGGAGAGAGGCCAUGCAAUUGAGACUCAGGUUGGGGCAUAAAUGAGUGAACCGAAGGGUUUUCUUAAUCAGGUAGAAAAAUAAGGCAUCAAUGUAUCUUUGAGACAUUUAGUCUAACAACUGAACACUACCUUUUAACAAAAUUCUCUAUUUUUUUGAACUUUUUUAAAUCCCAUUAACAACCACAUACAUAGGUCAAAUAAAUACAAUUGCACACACCCAUAAUUACACAUAUUCAUAUACAAACACACUAAAAACCAUAUACAUACAAUCAAAUACAUAGACUCGAACACAAUUCUUGAAAACUUUGAUUAUUGUUUUUAGAGCCUCGUUAUGCAAUUAGGUAGCUUGGACCUGUAAUUUAACAGCAUUUUGGUAUGAAUAGACGAUCAAUAUAACGAUUAGGAAGAAACUUGAAACUACCAUAAUCUUUUAUUGGAUUUAGGUGACUGGGUAUUUUUUUAAAUCUAAGUUUACUCGAAUGAUUUUACCAUCAUGUUGAAAAGGGCAUUUUCGAUUCGAAUUGCGCAUUAGAGGAAGGUCCAUGGAACCAAAAAGAAAGACAGAUAGAAAAAGAUUUGAAACAUACCACACAUCAGAAUAAAAAAGAAGAUGAAAAUGUUAGGGUUUCUGAUUAAAUUACCUGUGGAUCAUCGCGCCAGUAAAGGAAUCAUCAACAAUAACCUCACAACAAUCUGCACAUUCAAAGGGUAUUUUUUAUAAAUUUGUAAAAUUUGCAGAUAUGAGAGUUGGACCAAAAUCUAAUAUGGUCAAAAUCAGAAGAAAAAAAAUAGUUGAUCAUCUUCUUUUGAAAUUUGUUUUUAAAUCUAAGAAACACAUCCACCAGUACAUCAAUAAUCUACAUUGUCCAUAUGUACCAUAAUGGCUUCCUCUGCUAUCACCGAGCUUCUUCCUAAAUCCAUCCAAGAAUCUACAUUGCCAUUGACAUAUGUGUCUUAGACUAAUCUAAUACAUCUAUGAUGAUUACCUGGGAUUUCAACCUUAUUAUAAAAAAAAUAAGCAUCCGUGAUGGGUUACAAGUUAAAAGAAGACCCACAAAACAAUAAUCGAGAAAAAUCGCAACAACUAUUAAAAUGAAGUUAUGUUUUCAAAUAGAAUUUGCAAGAAAAACAAUCAGGCACAUAAAAUGAAUAAAAAUAUCAAAUAGAAAAAUUACAAGCAUUUAGCCUUGUACAUUAAGAAAAAGCAAGUUUGAUAUUUAACCUGAAAUUGGAUGAAGGAAACGGGCCCUCAAUUCUUCUUUUGGUCCUUGUGUCAUCGAGCACCUUGCUCCUGUCAAUAGUCGAUCCUGAUUAAUCUUCAUCACGAUAAUAAGGAAGAAGGUUAGGGGAGAAGAACAAAUGUAAUAGGAAUCCAUCAUGUUAAUUUCAAAAAUGGUUGCAAUGGUGAAGUUGAAUCACGCUAAAACCCUAAAUAUGGGUAAAUAGACAGGGCGUAGCCAAGAUAUACAUACUACAAGUGGACCUUUGGAUUAAAAAAAUUAAAGGCUAAGAUCUUUUAUGGCACUUUUGUAAAUAAGUGGAAAAAAACACGGGAGGGUAUCUCAAAAAAAUAAUAUAAGGACAUUUUAGGGAUUUAGAAAUUAUCCCCCAAAUAAACAUGUCAGAUCGAUCCCUAAUUAUUUCUACUGCUCAUUCCCUUUUCCUGAUUCUUCAUUGAGUCCAUCGACCUCCUCCCUGAUUCCAUCGGCACCUCCCCCCGCCUCCGCCUCCAAUGCCCACCCCUACCUGUAUCAACAACCAACAUGGUCUUGUAUUCAUUGUUGUCGAUCAUCUCGACUCCAUUAAAGGUGUUGUCUCUUCUCCUUCAUCCAUACGUCUGUAGAAGACCACUCAUACAUCGACCUACCGUUCUCUUCGUUGGAGAUCAUCCAACCUCUCUCUCAUUUCUAUCAGCCAUCGAUAAUUCAUCAUUAAUCGAAAAAAACCUGAUUAAUCUCAUGGAUCGCAAAUACACGCCUAAGUGGGAAUCGAUUUCUACAAAAUUAAUUCUUCAAAAUCGAUUGUCGAUAGAGCUUUGGUAUCGAUUUUCUAGUCAUGAUAUCAAGAAGUUAUGGAUUAAAUCAUUGAAGGUAAUCUAAAAUCGAUUCAUUUAUGUAUUUUUCUCUCCUUUAUCGAGUCAACCAGUCACAUACCCUGUGGUCUAUUUUUCUCUUCUUUACUUCUUCCUCUUAGUUUCUGUCUCUUAUUUGACCAUUUUUAUGGCUGAUUUAUAGGUUUUUAUGGAUAGUUGUAACCACUUUCUGGAAUUUAUGAAGAGGAG